UACAGAGGAUGCAAGCGUUAUCCGGAAUGAUUGGGCGUAAAGCGUCUGUAGGUGGCUUUUUAAGUCCGCCGUCAAAUCCCAGGGCUCAACUCUGGACAGGCGGUGGAAACUACCAAGCUGGAGUACGGUAGGGGCAGAGGGAAUUUCCGGUGGAGCGGUGAAAUGCGUAGAGAUCGGGAAGAACACCCGUGGCGAAGGCGGCACUCUGGGCCGGUACUGACGCUGAGGAGCGAAAGCGUGGGGAGCGAACAGG
Molecule: ribosomal RNA, 253 nt
Filed under: uncultured bacterium
Lineage: Bacteria
Description: partial 16S ribosomal RNA
Rfam family: Bacterial small subunit ribosomal RNA
Source: RNAcentral